UACGUAGGGUGCAAGCGUUGUCCGGAAUUAUUGGGCGUAAAGGGCUCGUAGGCGGUCUGUCACGUCGGGAGUGAAAACUCAGGGCUUAACCCUGAGCCUGCUUCCGAUACGGGCAGACUAGAGGUAUGCAGGGGAGAACGGAAUUCCUGGUGUAGCGGUGAGAUGCGCAGAUAUCAGGAGGAACACCGGUGGCGAAGGCGGUUCUCUGGGCAUUACCUGACGCUGAGGAGCGAAAGUGUGGGGAGCGAACAGG
Molecule: ribosomal RNA, 253 nt
Filed under: uncultured bacterium
Lineage: Bacteria
Description: partial 16S ribosomal RNA
Rfam family: Bacterial small subunit ribosomal RNA
Source: RNAcentral